AGCUGUUGUGUCGCUUCCUCAUGCUGACAUAUUUACGAGAGGGUGCAAUUCAUAACCUUCUGGUAAGAGUGGCAGUUGAGGGGU
This is a microRNA precursor of Rattus norvegicus (Norway rat), 84 nucleotides long. Ensembl annotates it as microRNA 628. Its record names the gene Mir628. The record is from Ensembl. Lineage: Eukaryota; Metazoa; Chordata; Mammalia; Rodentia; Muridae.